AACUUUCAACAACGGAUCUCUUGGUUCUGGCAUCGAUGAAGAACGCAGCGAAAUGCGAUAAGUAAUGUGAAUUGCAGAAUUCAGUGAAUCAUCGAAUCUUUGAACGCACAUUGCGCCCCCCAGUAUUCUGGAGGGCAUGCCUGUUCGAGCGUCAUUUCAACCAUCAAGCCCCGG
Molecule: ribosomal RNA, 174 nt
Filed under: Canariomyces subthermophilus
Lineage: Eukaryota; Fungi; Ascomycota; Sordariomycetes; Sordariales; Chaetomiaceae
Description: 5.8S ribosomal RNA
Rfam family: 5.8S ribosomal RNA (bases 1-154)
About the family: 5.8S ribosomal RNA (5.8S rRNA) is a component of the large subunit of the eukaryotic ribosome. It is transcribed by RNA polymerase I as part of the 45S precursor that also contains 18S and 28S rRNA.
Source: RNAcentral